RNAcentral lists this long non-coding RNA (2678 nucleotides) under Theobroma cacao (cacao). RNAcentral describes it as "long non-coding RNA (TCAC_LNC001634)". The record is from RNAcentral. Lineage: Eukaryota; Viridiplantae; Streptophyta; Magnoliopsida; Malvales; Malvaceae.
AAGAAGAACAAAGGAAGAAAAGAAAGAACAAGAACCCUAGGUGGAGAAUUUCAAGAGAAAAAGUGUGAAAAAUCAAGAAAAAUAAGUGAAAAAAGUAGGAUUUCUCAAUUUAAACUUGAAAUCUAUUUUCCUUAAGCAUUUCUCCUUAUUUUCCAUGGUUAAAUUUCAUGUUUUCAUGGUGAAUUUAUGGCUAGCCGAAUGGGUAUGGAGAGAGAAUGAUGUUGGAUUGAUUUGAUUUCAAGUUAUGUUAGUGUUUUUAGUUAGUUUAUCAUGUUCAGAAGCAAAACAACAAGAAAAGAAUUCAUUUUCCCCAUCACCCAUCAAUGGCUGAACCUACCUUGUAUUGAGUGAGGAUGAAUUUGAUUUUUUAUUUUAAGAGAAUUGGUUAGAAAAUAAUGAAUUAUGGUAUGAAAAAGUAGUAGGAAAAAUCACGGUGUUAAUGCACCAUUAUUGACCGAAAAUUCUAAGAAGAAAAGUGAAGAUGGUUUUGCCAAAUUUUAGGUUAUUUGACUUGUGUUUGGUGAAUUAAGGUAUUGGAAAAGAAAUGGAGCAAUUUGGAGCUAAAUUGGACGCGUUGGCCAAUUAAUCGGGUGAUAAGACGAAUUAGGCCAAUAUCGGGUUUAGAUGGUUACCCGUGCAUUUUGCAUUCCAUAUCAUGCAUUAGUAGUCUAAAUUAGUUUAAUUUCGAUUUAGUAACAAUGUAGUAAGUUUCUUGAUUUUGUACUAUGUCAAGGUAGUGAGUCCUCCGAUAAAGACAAGGAAAUUGCAUCCGAGGACCAGUAGUCAGAGUACUUCAAAAAUUCGCACUCUAGAUAUUGUGAGUAACCUUAUCAUCAUCUUUAUUAUCUGAAGUGAAUUUUAAUUUGUUUUUGUGAUUUUAUGGAAAAUGAGUUUAAAUGGUAAAUCUUUAUGUUUUAUAAGCAAAAUGUGAUUAAGUGAAAUGAUUUUCUAAAAUUGUCUUGAGAUUGAAAGAUGGUUUUGAAAAUGGAGUAAUUGGAGACUAAUUGCUGUGUUGUAAAUCAUGGUUCGAAUUGAAUGGCUUAUGAUAAUAUUGGCAUGAAUGGCUAAAUUGGUAUUUGUGUUGAAAUGUAUAAACUGUUGUUUGCCUUGAUAAGCUGGAUAAUGAUAAAAAUAGCCAUGUCAUGCUGUUGAAUUUUUAUUAUAUGGUGGGGUUGAGCUUGCUGCAGUGGGUGGCUUUCCGUGGAUCAGUCUAUUAGAAGGGCACGGUAAACCCCGUUAUAUCUUACCUCAGUAUGAGAAGCGCAGGUGGAUAACUCCUGAGGUUAACACUUUAGAGUUCAUUUCAUGCAAAACCAUCACGUGAGGGUGAACUCAGCCAACUCCAAGGAACGGCUAUGUUUUCAAAAUAAAAACAUAAUUUAUGCGUACAUGACUUUUUAACAGCCUUGGCGGACUCAGUUGGGAUAGCCCUCGAUCAAGGCAUCCCUGAUAACUGGGUAUGAGAAUGAUUUUGGCACGAGCCAAAGUUUUAAGAAAUUCAUAAGCCAUGUUGAUUACUCGAUUUAUAUGAAUUGCUUUUAUUUGGUUGAAACAAGUUGAAAGGUGAUGAAUUUCAGUAUGUUAAACUAUUUUAUCUGUCUCCAUUUACUCGGUUUUAGAUAUUUUAGAUGAUAUUUGUUUACUCACUAGGAUUAUAUAAUCUCACCACCCUCCUUUCCACCCAUUUCAAGCUCAAGAUAGUCUAUAGAUAGCUGAUUUCAUCGAGGACCACCAUUGGAUUUGCAUCUUCCAAAUUGUAGGUUCACAAUUUUUCUUACUUUCGGUUAUUCGAGGGCCCACUUGUUACUGUAAAUUAAAUUAAAUACUCUGGCUUACUGUAUUACGAUAUGUAUGAAUUUAUUUUACUUUUACGCUGUAAAAAUUAUUUAUGCAGUGUUCUAAAAAUAUUGUUUUAUGAGAAAAUUAAUAUUUUAUUCAAUAUUUUUAUUUUAUUCUAAUAAUCAUAAUUUCAUUUUAAAUGAAGGUUUUAGAUGUUUAAACUUAUUUUUGAUUAUGAAUUAUAUGUUUUGUACUUGUAUACUACAUUUUUAGUUAGUUUCGAAAUUUUUGAAAAAAAUGACCAAAAUACCCCUAUGUAGUUGAAAUUUCUCUUUGACUGUUUUUGAACUGAAAUUGGUUCAUAUCACUUUAAAAUAUGAUUUUAGUAACUAAUACUCACAGGGGAAGCAAGAAAACUGAUGUUAAGCCUUGCGAGAUUUCGAUUGACAUUUCGGGUAAUAAAUGUCUAUCGGGACGUUGCGGUGGUUGUCACGGGCUCGAUGGGAAUUACGGGUCGUGACAUUCAUACUCAUCAUCUUCGUUUACAGUUUCCUUCGUCUCUUCUUCUUUUCCUUCAACUCCUUCAUCUUCAUCAUUUUCUUCAUUAUGUUUGACCUCAACAAACGUAUUAACCUUUUCAUAUUCACCACUAACAAAAAUUGUAUUAUUGUCAAGGUCAGCUGAAGGAUCAUCAAAUUGUGUAUUGAAAGAAAGUUCAUCUUCUUGAUACACCCCUUCAUUAUUUGGAAUAUCAAAUGAACUCCAAGCUUUUGUUUUGAACAUUGCCACCAAUCAUGUCGAUUUCUUUUUUUUGAUGGAUAUGGAUAUAUAGUACAUCAAAUUUAUCAUUACAUAUAAUAGAUUAUAUAUAAUUUUUAUUAUUGUAAAUCAUUGAAAAU